RNAcentral lists this small RNA (198 nucleotides) under Nocardioides sp. Leaf285. RNAcentral's name for it is "Actinobacteria sRNA Ms_IGR-5". It matches the Rfam family "Actinobacteria sRNA Ms_IGR-5". Lineage: Bacteria; Bacillati; Actinomycetota; Actinomycetes; Propionibacteriales; Nocardioidaceae. The record is from Rfam by way of RNAcentral.
ACACGGGAAAGGAGGUGGUCCGAAGAAUGAUUUCUUCUAGGACGCGUGAGGUGGCUGCCCGCUAGCAGCCCAGCGCCAACGAGGGGUGGAAGUCCCUCCGGCUGCUGGUGAAUCCUCAGCAGUCACCCGACCCGCAGGUGAUCCGGUCGCACGUCCGCCGGAGCGGCUCCCCGGAGCCACACCUGCGGGUCGUCCCAC